GNUCAGAUUGAACGCUGGCGGUAUGCUUAACACAUGCAAGUCGAACGGRAACGAAACUAGCUUGCUAGUAGGCGUCGAGUGGCGGACGGGUGAGUAACGCGUAGGAAUCUGCCUGAUAGUGGGGGAUAGCCCGAAGAAAUUCGGAUUAAUACCGCAUAAUCUAUUCGUAGUAAAGUGGGGGACUUUCGAGCCUCACGCUAUCAGAUGAGCCUGCGUAAGAUUAGCUUGUUGGUAGGGUAAAAGCCUACCAAGGCAACGAUCUUUAGCUGGUCUGAGAGGAUGAUCAGCCACAUCGGGACUGAGACACGGCCCGAACUCCUACGGGAGGCAGCAGUGGGGAAUAUUGGACAAUGGGGGCAACCCUGAUCCAGCAAUACCGCGUGUGUGAAGAAGGCCUGAGGGUUGUAAAGCACUUUCAAUUAUGAAGAAAAGUUAAUGGUUAAUAACCAUUGACCUUGACGUUAAUUUUAGAAGAAGCACCGGCUAACUCCGUGCCAGCAGCCGCGGUAAUACGGAGGGUGCAAGCGUUAAUCGGAAUUACUGGGCGUAAAGCGUGCGUAGGCGGUUUAUUAAGUCAGAUGUGAAAGCCCCGGGCUUAACCUGGGAACUGCAUUUGAAACUGGUCAACUAGAGUAUGGUAGAGGAAAGUGGAAUUUCUGGUGUAGCGGUGAAAUGCGUAGAUAUCAGAAGGAACAUCAAUGGCGAAGGCAGCUUUCUGGACCAAUACUGACGCUGAGGUACGAAAGCGUGGGUAGCAAACAGGAUUAGAUACCCUGGUAGUCCACGCCGUAAACGAUGAUAACUAGCCGUUGGGGGGAUUUACCCCUUAGUGGCGAAGCUAACGCGUUAAGUUAUCCGCCUGGGGAGUACGGCCGCAAGGCUAAAACU
RNAcentral lists this ribosomal RNA (888 nucleotides) under uncultured Thiotrichales bacterium. Its description in RNAcentral is "SSU rRNA". It matches the Rfam family "Bacterial small subunit ribosomal RNA", at positions 22 to 901 of the family's 1533-position model. The record is from RNAcentral. Lineage: Bacteria; Pseudomonadati; Pseudomonadota; Gammaproteobacteria; Thiotrichales.